UACGUAGGGGGCAAGCGUUGUCCGGAUUUAUUGGGCGUAAAGAGCGUGUAGGCGGCCAUGCAGGUCAGCUGUGAAAACUCGAGGCUCAACCUCGAGACGUCGGUUGAAACCGCAUGGCUAGAGUCCGGAAGAGGAGAGUGGAAUUCCCGGUGUAGCGGUGAAAUGCGCAGAUAUCGGGAAGAACACCCAUGGCGAAGGCAGCUCUCUGGGACGGUACUGACGCUGAGACGCGAAAGCGUGGGGAGCAAACAGG
Molecule: ribosomal RNA, 253 nt
Filed under: uncultured bacterium
Lineage: Bacteria
Description: partial 16S ribosomal RNA
Rfam family: Bacterial small subunit ribosomal RNA
Source: RNAcentral